UCCAGACUCCUACGGGAGGCAGCAGUGGGGGAUAUUGCACAAUGGGGGGAACCCUGAUGCAGCGACGCCGCGUGGGUGAAGGAGCGUUUCGGCGCGUAAAGCCCUCUCGGCAGGGAAGAAGGAGGACGGUACCUGACUAAGAAGCCCCGGCUAACUACGUGCCAGCAGCCGCGGUAAUACGUAGGGGGCAAGCGUUAUCCGGAUUUACUGGGUGUAAAGGGGGCGCAGACGGCAGCGCAAGCCAGGAGUGAAAGCCCGGGGCCCAACCCCGGGACUGCUCUUGGAACUGCGCGGCUGGAGUGCAGGAGGGGCAGGCGGAAUUCCUGGUGUAGCGGUGAAAUGCGUAGAUAUCAGGAGGAACACCGGUGGCGAAGGCGGCCUGCUGGACUGCGACUGACGUUGAGGCCCGAAAGCGUGGGGAGCAAACAGGAUUAGAUACCCGGGUA
Molecule: ribosomal RNA, 446 nt
Filed under: uncultured bacterium
Lineage: Bacteria
Description: partial 16S ribosomal RNA
Rfam family: Bacterial small subunit ribosomal RNA
Source: RNAcentral